GAGAAAGUGAGAGAAGAGGAAAGUGAGAGGAGAGGACAGAGAGAGGGGAGGCAGAGGAGAGACAGGAGAGAGAGAGAGGGCAGCAACAGCAGAGUAAUUGGCCCGAGACGUGCCACUAAUGCUGCCUCAUCUUCAUUGUAUUCUUUCUUCAAGCACUACUUCUCCUCCCCUCUUUCCUGUUGUACACCUCCACUCUGGCCACCCCUCCCCCUGUGCUCUCCCCCGCUUUUUUUUCUCCCCUCUCCUUGACUCUCUCCUUUACAGGCACUCGUUUGCAGCACUUUCUGUCCUCUCUCACCUUCUCA
Molecule: non-coding RNA, 305 nt
Organism: Xyrichtys novacula (pearly razorfish)
Lineage: Eukaryota; Metazoa; Chordata; Actinopteri; Labriformes; Labridae
Source: the annotation of a GenBank genome assembly